AUACGUAGGGGGCGAGCGUUGUCCGGAAUGAUUGGGCGUAAAGGGCGCGUAGGCGGCCUGUUAAGUCUGGAGUGAAAGUCCUGUUUUCAAGAUGGGAAUUGCUUUGGAUACUGAUGGGCUUGAGUGCAGGAGAGGUUAUCGGAAUCCCCGGUGUAGCGGUGAAAUGCGUAGAGAUCGGGAGGAACACCAGUGGCGAAGGCGGGUAACUGGACUGCAACUGACGCUGAGGCGCGAAAGUGUGGGGAGCAAACAGGAUUAGAUACCCUGGUAGUCCACGCCGUAAACGAUGAUUACUAGGUGUUGGUUGUCAUAGACAAUCGGUGCCGCAGCAAACGCAAUAAGUAAUCCACCUGGGGAGUACGGCCGCAAGGUUGAAACUCAAAUGAAUUGACGGGG
Molecule: ribosomal RNA, 396 nt
Filed under: uncultured bacterium
Lineage: Bacteria
Description: partial 16S ribosomal RNA
Rfam family: Bacterial small subunit ribosomal RNA
Source: RNAcentral